RNAcentral lists this ribosomal RNA (289 nucleotides) under uncultured bacterium. RNAcentral describes it as "partial 16S ribosomal RNA". It matches the Rfam family "Bacterial small subunit ribosomal RNA", at positions 773 to 1060 of the family's 1533-position model. The record is from RNAcentral.
GUGGAUUAGAUACCCUGGUAGUCCACGCCCUAAACGAUGUCUACUAGUUGUCGGGUCUUAAUUGACUUGGUAACGCAGCUAACGCGUGAAGUAGACCGCCUGGGGAGUACGGUCGCAAGAUUAAAACUCAAAGGAAUUGACGGGGACCCGCACAAGCGGUGGAUGAUGUGGAUUAAUUCGAUGCAACGCGAAAAACCUUACCUACCCUUGACAUGGAAGGAAUCCCGGAGAGAUUUGGGAGUGCCCGAAAGGGAACCUUUACACAGGUGCUGCACGGUUGUCGUCAACU